CAGGGAGACAACAAAAUGUUUAAUAUCUUUAUUUUGUCACCUUAGGUCGAUCGGUAUCUCACAUUCUUAAUUGAUUAAGGAUUUCAUUUCCUAAGUUUUUCUAGGUCACACCCAUUAUUUUCCUGGGCCAUUAGCUCAGGUGGUUAGAGCGCACCCCUGAUAAGGGUGAGGUCCCUGGUUCAAGUCCAGGAUGGCCCAUAUCUCUAUGUUGGGGGUAUAGCUCAGUUGGUAGAGCGCCUGCUUUGCAAGCAGGAUGUCAGCGGUUCGAGUCCGCUUACCUCCACUGAUUACCACCUCUUCCAUAAACUGAAGAAAGGAAAAUUAUUGAGUUGUGAUCAAAUUCUGAACGAAUCUAGCUUCCUAAUGAAAUCAUCAAUAUGAAACAUUAAGAUGCUGGACUCAAUGGAUUAAUUUCAUUGUUUUCAGAGAACCUUGACAACUGCAUAGAUUAUUUUAAAGACAAUUAGCAUCUUUAAUGAUGCAGAUUUAUUAUUUGUGCGAAAGCAUUAAUAACAAUUCUUUAAGCUGAUGCUUCAA
RNAcentral lists this transfer RNA (537 nucleotides) under uncultured Prochlorococcus sp. RNAcentral's name for it is "partial 16S-23S ribosomal RNA intergenic spacer". The stretch from base 211 to 283 matches the Rfam family "tRNA". Lineage: Bacteria; Bacillati; Cyanobacteriota; Cyanophyceae; Synechococcales; Prochlorococcaceae. The record is from RNAcentral.